Long non-coding RNA from Suricata suricatta (meerkat), 759 nucleotides. RefSeq lists it as uncharacterized. The transcript has 2 exons. Lineage: Eukaryota; Metazoa; Chordata; Mammalia; Carnivora; Herpestidae. The record is from RefSeq and is a predicted model, not a curated record.
AGCGUGUCCCGCGCCGCAGACUUGGAAUGGUUUUCCAGCCGGUAAGCUGUGACACCGCACUGCCCACGACGCAAGAGAACAGCCCGGCUCGCAGUCGCUGUGGCCUGUGCUCCUAGCGAAAGGUCCUGCCUCUGGAAGUCACAAGUGUUCCAUUUCUGGGUGUCCUUUGGGAUGUAUUCAUUCAGGAACCAUGUGCCACUGACGCCACAACAAGCAUUUUCAGGGGUUUGUACCGAGAUUUACUGACUUCGUGUCUUACUUCACGAUGACUCCAGCUAUUAGAUACAGAAAAUCUCUCUCCCCACUUGAAAACAUCCUUUAUUCAGAGCGAUGUAAUAUUAGCAGAUCUUUGCCAAACAACUGACCCACAAUGGGGUGAUCCUUGGAGACAAUGGAGCACCGUGUGCAUUGUGCCCGUUUUCUACCCCAUUCAUGACCCAUUCGAUCACUUCCUUCUAGAUGCUUGGAUGAAUCCGCAUCGCGAGAGAGUGCCGUGGCCUGCGUUCUGACAGGUGGGGCAGGCUCAGGGCGAGGAGCGCCCAGCUGCGCUGUGCCUGCUGCUGGAAGCACGGGACUUGCCCUGGCCGCCCUCUGCUGGGGGGGGGGGCUGGGGGGGAGGUUCUCCACCCCGGAAACACAUCCGAGGCUGCUGGCCCAUCUAGGGCCCAGUCCUUUGUUCUGCGUGACUUCCUUGGCCCGUCCCGUAUGGACCAGGCAACCUCACCUGAGAGUGCUCCCAAUAAAGGCCUUUUACAUUUA